CAGAGAAUUAGAAGCCCUAAGCAGUGCCAAUCCUGUUCAGUUCACCCAAGUGAGAGCCAAAUAAUAAAAUCAUGUUACACAAUGCAGAAGUCAACUCAGAGCAAUGAAUACAGAACAAAGGUACUUUGGAAUAUGCCAUCCUAAUAUUCCUGUAUGCGCACUUUAGUGUUCUUAAAUGUGUUUCAUGUUUAAUGAAAGAAACAAUGACUUUCAGUGGAGGAAAAAAAUAGAUCUUUAAAUAUAAUCAGGGCCUUAACCACCUACCUUAGGUAACUGAGAAAAAGCUACUGUACUCUUUAUUUUUUAAUACUCCAGAUAUGUAAUUUAAUGCAGGUCUAAUGACAGUCUCAAACAUGGGGCUUUAAUCGAAAUUGUUCAAGCUCAGUGCUGUGACAGGAACUCACAAGCCCCCAACAGUGCUGUCCAUUUUCUCAGGUUCUUCAAUAGAAAAGGAAAGAAGAAAAAAACCUCUUGAACUUAUGUUGCUAUUGAUGUGUAAUAUACAAUAAAAAAAAGUUAAAUUUCAAUUACCCACAGGUUGUCAAAUAAACUAUUAAAGAUUAUCUUUGAAAAGGUGUCUGCAAUUGUAAGGACAUAUCAUACUGUUCAUGUACUGUAUUAGUAAUUAGAGAUUCCUGGAUAGUGAAAGAUCUGCACUGGGAGCUUACUACCGGGGAGCACAUUUUCUCACAGCCGCCUCUAAUCUCCCACGGAAGCUUUCAAACUUCUCAGCUCUAUCAGAAACUUGAUUUCUAUGGAAUAAGCUUGUGCUAGCAAAACCAGUUUACCCAGAAACGCACAAAUGAGCUGCUUAGCAUACUUCUGAGAUCCUGAUUCCCACAGUCCCUGUGCUGUUGUUGCUGUUGAUAUUGGAUGGAGACUGUAAAUGGAAGCAUGCCUUGGUGACGUCUCCAGCAGAGGGUACUCGCUUCAAUCCCCAUGCUGCUGUGGGUGGGCCACAACAACAGAUGACUUUUUAAAUGACAUGCUGUUUCCUGUUCUGCUACUUAUAGUUUCUGAAGAACCAAGUUAUAUAGAAAGAAGAAGAAGGUAAAGGCUGUGAAGGAAAAAGAGAAGAAACUAACUGCAAGUAAAAAAAAUGAAGGCCA
Molecule: long non-coding RNA, 1109 nt
Filed under: Homo sapiens (human)
Lineage: Eukaryota; Metazoa; Chordata; Mammalia; Primates; Hominidae
Description: novel transcript
Source: RNAcentral